RNAcentral lists this transfer RNA (74 nucleotides) under Podarcis lilfordi (Lilford's wall lizard). It matches the Rfam family "tRNA". Rfam says of the family: Transfer RNA (tRNA) molecules are approximately 80 nucleotides in length. Lineage: Eukaryota; Metazoa; Chordata; Lepidosauria; Squamata; Lacertidae. The record is from Rfam by way of RNAcentral.
CCCCAGGUGAGCUCAGUCGGUAGAGCGUGAGACUCUUAAUCUCCGGGUCAUGGGUUCGAGCCCCAUGUUGGGGU